GUGAGGAAUUUUCCGCAAUGGGCGAAAGCCUGACGGAGCAAUGCCGCGUGAAGGAUGAAGGCCUAUGGGUUGUAAACUUCUUUUCUCAGAAAAGAAUUAUGACGGUAUCUGAGGAAUAAGCAUCGGCUAACUCUGUGCCAGCAGCCGCGGUAAGACAGAGGAUGCAAGCGUUAUCCGGAAUGAUUGGGCGUAAAGCGUCUGUAGGUUGUUUAAAAAGUAUUCUGUCAAAGAUUAGGGCUUAACCCUAGAUAGGCAGAAUAAACUUUUAAGCUAGAGUUUGGUAGAGGCAGAGGGAAUUACCGGUGGAGCAGUGAAAUGCGUAGAUAUCGGGAGGAACACCAAAGGCGAAGGCACUCUGCUGGGCCAAUACUAACACUGAGAGACGAAAGCGAGGGGAGCAAAUGGGAUUAGAUACCCGAGUAGUCC
RNAcentral lists this ribosomal RNA (426 nucleotides) under uncultured bacterium. Its description in RNAcentral is "partial 16S ribosomal RNA". It matches the Rfam family "Bacterial small subunit ribosomal RNA", at positions 354 to 796 of the family's 1533-position model. The record is from RNAcentral.